UACGUAGGUGGCAAGCGUUGUCCGGAUUUACUGGGCGUAAAGCGCGCGCAGGCGGUCGUUCAAGUCGAGUGUGAAAGCCCCCGGCUCAACUGGGGAGGGUCACGCGAUACUGGUCGACUCGAAGGCAGGAGAGGGUAGUGGAAUUCCCGGUGUAGUGGUGAAAUGCGUAGAUAUCGGGAGGAACACCAGUGGCGAAGGCGACUACCUGGUCUGUUCUUGACGCUGAGGCGCGAAAGCUAGGGGAGCAAACGGG
This 253-nucleotide ribosomal RNA is filed under the name uncultured bacterium. RNAcentral describes it as "partial 16S ribosomal RNA". It matches the Rfam family "Bacterial small subunit ribosomal RNA", at positions 524 to 776 of the family's 1533-position model. The record is from RNAcentral.